UGGAAUGUGGCUUAGUGGUAGAGUGCUUGCCUAGCAUGCAUGAAGCCUGGGUUCAAUUCCUCAGUACCAC
RNAcentral lists this transfer RNA (70 nucleotides) under Dipodomys ordii (Ord's kangaroo rat). It matches the Rfam family "tRNA". From Rfam's summary of the family: Transfer RNA (tRNA) molecules are approximately 80 nucleotides in length. Their secondary structure includes four short double-helical elements and three loops (D, anti-codon, and T loops). Lineage: Eukaryota; Metazoa; Chordata; Mammalia; Rodentia; Heteromyidae. The record is from Rfam by way of RNAcentral.